CCUACGGGAGGCAGCAGUGGGGAAUAUUGCACAAUGGGGGAAACCCUGAUGCAGCGAUGCCGCGUGAGCGAUGAAGUAUUUCGGUAUGUAAAGUACUAUCAGCAGGGAAGAAAAUGACGGUACCUGACUAAGCAGCCCCGGAUAACGACGUGACAGCAGCCGCGGUAAUACGUAGGGGGCAAGCGUUAUCCGGAAUUACUGGGUGUAAAGGGAGCGUAGACGGUCCUGCAAGCCAGAUGUGAAAGCCCGGGGCUCAACCCCGGGACUGCAUUUGGAACUGGAAGGCUAGAGUGUCGGAGAGGCGGGUAGAAUUCCUAGUGUAGCGGUGAAAGGCGUAGAGAUUAGGAGGAACACCAGUGGCGAAGGCGGCCUGCUGGACGAUGACUGACGUUGAGGCGCGAAAGCGUGGGGAGCAAACAGGAUUAGAUACCCCAGUAGUC
This 440-nucleotide ribosomal RNA is filed under the name uncultured bacterium. Its description in RNAcentral is "partial 16S ribosomal RNA". It matches the Rfam family "Bacterial small subunit ribosomal RNA", at positions 338 to 795 of the family's 1533-position model. The record is from RNAcentral.